This 934-nucleotide ribosomal RNA is filed under the name Postia sericeomollis. RNAcentral describes it as "LSU rRNA". It matches the Rfam family "Eukaryotic large subunit ribosomal RNA", at positions 37 to 955 of the family's 3401-position model. Lineage: Eukaryota; Fungi; Basidiomycota; Agaricomycetes; Polyporales; Postiaceae. The record is from RNAcentral.
AGCAUAUCAAUAAGCGGAGGAAAAGAAACUAACAAGGAUUCCCCUAGUAACUGCGAGUGAAGCGGGAAAAGCUCAAAUUUAAAAUCUGGCGGUCCUUGCGGCUGUCCGAGUUGUAAUCUGGAGAAGUGCUUUCCGCGCUGGACCGUGUACAAGUCUCUUGGAACAGAGCGUCGUAGAGGGUGAGAAUCCCGUCUUUGACACGGACUACCAGUGCUUUGUGAUGCGCUCUCAAAGAGUCGAGUUGUUUGGGAAUGCAGCUCAAAAUGGGUGGUAAAUUCCAUCUAAAGCUAAAUAUUGGCGAGAGACCGAUAGCGAACAAGUACCGUGAGGGAAAGAUGAAAAGAACUUUGGAAAGAGAGUUAAACAGUACGUGAAAUUGCUGAAAGGGAAACGCUUGAAGUCAGUCGCGUUGGCCGGAACUCAGCCUUGCUUUUGCUUGGUGCACUUUCUGGUCGACGGGUCAGCAUCAGUUUUGAUCGUCGGAUAAUGGCCGAGGGAAUGUGGCAUCUUCGGAUGUGUUAUAGCCCUUGGUCGCAUACGAUGGUUGGGACUGAGGAUCUCAGCACACCUUUAUGGUCGGGGUUCGCCCACGUUUGUGCUUAGGAUGCUGGCAUAAUGGCUUUAAACGACCCGUCUUGAAACACGGACCAAGGAGUCUAACAUGCAUGCGAGUGUUUGGGUGGAAAACCCGAGCGCGUAAUGAAAGUGAAAGUUGAGACCUCUGUCGUGGAGGGCAUCGACGCCCGGACCAGACCUUCUGUGACGGCUCUGCGGUAGAGCAUGUAUGUUGGGACCCGAAAGAUGGUGAACUAUGCCUGAAUAGGGUGAAGCCAGAGGAAACUCUGGUGGAGGCUCGUAGCGAUUCUGACGUGCAAAUCGAUCGUCAAAUUUGGGUAUAGGGGCGAAAGACUAAUCGAACCAUCUAGUAGCUGGU